UGACCACUUCUGUUUUUUAGAAGUCAAGGCCAUACGGACAGCCGGGUCAACUGCCGA
This 57-nucleotide small RNA is filed under the name unclassified sequences. RNAcentral's name for it is "Streptococcus sRNA SpF59 (ldcC RNA)". It matches the Rfam family "Streptococcus sRNA SpF59 (ldcC RNA)". The record is from Rfam by way of RNAcentral.